CUGCGAUUUCAGCCGAAACCUCCCUUCGCUUAUAAUGCACCGCAUACCCCACGAGGGAGCCUGAGAACAGGCUGCCUUGAAAAGCGAGGUCCUCAUAGUUGGCCUGUAACCAUGGAAGCAGAUGCUGUUUUCCUCCACCCUGCUUACCUCUUUGCAGCCUGGAGCUGCUCCCUAUUGUUAAAAGGGGGGUACGCCUCGAUUCUUCUUCAUCAUGACCGAACUUGCCUCUUCUUCAAAGGGCAUGCUGCUGCAGGUCAUUGGUCUAGACUGUUUGCACGGUCCAGAGAGCAGCCUUGAUGUAACCCUGGCUCCGUCUGAGCCACACCACCAGCCGUGCAUCUGCAGACUGGAGGGGACAUUGGAGAUCCGUAUUUGAAAAGAAGUCUGUCUGAUUUUGCCAUUGUGCCUUUUCACUCAUCGAUCGAAUGAAUAUCGAACCUUCUGUCGUUGCGUGUGUGAAAUAGAUAGCUUAGCCAGCACUUUUGUGCCCAACCUGUGCUGUGGGCCAAAAGGUUUUCAUUUUAGUCUCAAGAAUUUUUCCCCCCUUUCUUGAAUUUUGUGCUGGCUUAAAUUAUUUGUGUGCCUUUAUCCAGCUGUUUUGGCUACUGCUUGCUAUACUUUUAACAGCAGGGAUUUUGUUUUGGUGUCAAAACGGAACUUUUUUUUUUUUCCCUGUCAUCUGUUUGUUUUUCUUUGUAGCUGUCUUAAGGUCUUUUUUUUUUUCUUUUUUUUUUGUAGCUUUGUAGGUUGAAGUGGUCUAACUUUUACUACACCCUAUAAAGCCGCACAUCUGAGUUGCCCUUUUAAGGGGGCGAUUUGAUGGUGUCUAUUAUUUAACAGGCUCAAGUACAGAAAGGUGAGCUUGAACCUCUCAAGGUGAUUUCAAUGAUUUAUAAGAGUUUUGAAUUGAAGGCCAUCAUAUGUCUUUAGAGAAGAAAGAAAAAGGUCUUGGAAGUUUAGGAGAGACUCCAUCUUCACAUCAUAUCUAUUUUGGCCUGGAAUGCCAGGGUUUCCAGUGGAAUACCAGAAAUCAACAGCUAUGUUUCCUUGACUUCUUUAUUUCUGUUUAACUUUUGAGAAAAUCAGUAGAAAAAUCUAAAUACUCUACCUUUUAAGACCAAAGUUAUUCAUAAGCAUUCAGUGUCAUUUUUUGUCUGAAGGUAAAAUAAUAUAUAUAUGUUUUUUCUGUGUUGAAGAGACUUUUAAAGAAUUAUUAUUCCUUUUUCUGUUGGAAGCAUUGAAUGUUAUUUAAAAGUACUUUGGUAGAUUUGAUGAAAUUCAAAGGAGGAACUAUUUGAGAACUACAUACUUAAAUAUCAAAACUUUAUGAAUAAAGUUCAUGUGUCAUAAAAAUAAAAAAAUCUGCACUAGAUGUUCUUAUAAUAUAUGUUACAUUGGUAAUGUUACUCUGACCUUUCCUUGGUUUCAAAUAUAAGGGAAACCCUGUCGAUAAGCAACACUGCUUACUAAUGAAAAAAUGUGUUACUGUGGUCUUAGAGGGGGAAAUAAAUCUCUUUUAAUUAAUGCCUCUGCAAAGUAAAUUCUCUAAGAAACUUAUUGCUAGAAUCCCUCUACUGGGCCGUUAUUUUUCAACUUCCAUUCAUAACUUAAAAUACAACAUAAUUAUUUUUGAUCUGUCACUGUCAAACGUUAGUAAAUUUCUAAUUUGCACACUCAUAAUCCCCAACUUCCAAUAGCUUGAGUUUGGACUCUUUGACUUAAAAAUGGUG
This 1730-nucleotide long non-coding RNA is filed under the name Cricetulus griseus (Chinese hamster). RNAcentral's name for it is "lncRNA (ENSCGRG00015035184.1)". The record is from RNAcentral. Lineage: Eukaryota; Metazoa; Chordata; Mammalia; Rodentia; Cricetidae.